This 732-nucleotide ribosomal RNA is filed under the name uncultured Providencia sp. RNAcentral describes it as "bacterial SSU rRNA". It matches the Rfam family "Bacterial small subunit ribosomal RNA", at positions 767 to 1502 of the family's 1533-position model. The record is from RNAcentral. Lineage: Bacteria; Pseudomonadati; Pseudomonadota; Gammaproteobacteria; Enterobacterales; Morganellaceae.
AGCAAACAGGAUUAGAUACCUGGUAGUCACGCUGUAAACGAUGUCGAUUGGAGGUUGUUCCCUUGAGGAGUGGCUUCCGGAGCUAACGCGUUAAUCGACCGCCUGGGGAGUACGGCCGCAAGGUUAAAACUCAAAUGAAUUGCCGGGGGCCCGCACAAGCGGUGGAGCAUGUGGUUUAAUUCGAUGCAACGCGAAGAACCUUACCUACUCUUGACAUCCAGAGAAUUUAGCAGAGAUGCUUUAGUGCCUUCGGGAACUCUGAGACAGGUGCUGCAUGGCUGUCGUCAGCUCGUGUUGUGAAAUGUUGGGUUAAGUCCCGCAACGAGCGCAACCCUUAUCCUUUGUUGCCAGCACAUUAUGGUGGGAACUCAAAGGAGACUGCCGGUGAUAAACCGGAGGAAGGUGGGGAUGACGUCAAGUCAUCAUGGCCCUUACGAGUAGGGCUACACACGUGCUACGAUGGCGUAUACAAAGAGAAGCGACCUCGCGAGAGCAAGCGGAACUCAUAAAGUACGUCGUAGUCCGGAUUGGAGUCUGCAACUCGACUCCAUGAAGUCGGAAUCGCUAGUAAUCGUAGAUCAGAAUGCUACGGUGAAUACGUUCCCGGGCCUUGUACACACCGCCCGUCACACCAUGGGAGUGGGUUGCAAAAGAAGUAGGUAGCUUAACCUUCGGGAGGGCGCUUACCACUUUGUGAUUCAUGACUGGGGUGAAGUCGUAACAAGGUAACCA